This is an RNA transcript of Alosa alosa (allis shad), 1895 nucleotides long. It is a transcript of the gene named COPI coat complex subunit zeta 2, with no coding region annotated. The record is from RefSeq and is a predicted model, not a curated record. The transcript has 10 exons. NCBI's taxonomy places the organism in Eukaryota, Metazoa, Chordata, Actinopteri, Clupeiformes, Clupeidae.
UUCUACGAGGUCUGCUGUAAUGACAGCUCAAACCUGUCCACGUCAACACAGGAACAACACCAUGGACUCUGUGGCUCUGGAACCUUCACUAUACACAGUGAAGGCUGUAUUUAUUUUGGACAAUGAUGGGAACAGACUUCUGUCGAAGUACUACGAUCCUGACCUUUACCCAUCUAUGAAGGAACAGAGAAGUUUUGAGAAGAAUGUCUUCAACAAGACCCACAAAGCUGACAAUGAGAUUGCCUUCUUGGAAGGGAUGACAAUUGUCUACAAGGGCAGCAUUGAUCUGUUCUUCUACGUGGUCGGCAGUGCCCAGGAGAACGAGCUUAUGCUGAUGGCUGUCCUGAAUUGCCUGUUUGAAUCACUUAGUCAAAUCUUAAGGAAGAACGUGGAGAGGAGGUGUCUGCUGGAUAACAUGGAUGGAGUCUUCCUGGUGGUGGAUGAGAUCAUCGAUGGCGGGGUAAUUUUGGAGAGUGACCCACAGCAGGUGGUGGAGAAAGUCAACUACAGGGCUGGCUCUGAACAGGCGUUUGGCUUUGUCCUGUUUGACUACAUCACCGGUAAUGUGGAGGCGCAGUCCUCCAGCAGCCAGUAUGCUUAGUCCCACCGCCUCCCCUGCAGGGAGGGAGGGGACGGCAAGCCAGAGGAGACAGAAAGGGCGGACGACAACCCUCUGUCAGAGCAGAGUGUGGCACAGGUAUUACAGUCAGCAAAGGAUCAAAUCAAGUGGUCAAUACUCAAGUGAGCAGUGGACGCUAUGAGGGGCAUGCACCCUUGCACAAGGAUCGGGACAUAGAAGUCUAUAGAGAUUCGCGCUAUGCAGCUAUAAUCUUCAUGUUUUGUCGGGUGACAUUUUGUGUAAAUACUUUGUUUUUGUCGAUAAGGGUAAAAUUCUAUGUACAUAAUAUAUAAUAUUUAUUAGUCUAAACAUGUUUCAGACUCGAAUUAUCAAUUGGUCAAGAGCACAGUAGGCUACAGGCCUGCUUUGGUCCGAGUAGCCUAUAGCCUAGGUCAUUUUUUUAAAGGCUUACCUUACCUUUUAGGGGCACCUUAAAAUUGUUGAAAUUAUUAUUUUUUCUAUGAAGUUAGUCUUUAGUGUAAAAUAUCAAGACUAUGGGUCCCAACGUCCUUUGUCAUUUGAAAGUCAUUUGUUCUUUGGCUGUCACAUCCCAAACCAAGGCCGGGCGGGUGCGGUAGUUCCAGUUAUACAAUCGGAUCAGGAUGAACUCACACACCAAAUACGGCCGAUUUAAUUAAGUAAACUUGUUUAAUAUGAAAGAAAGUAUUGAAGCACCAACGUCCUUCAAUUAAGGGAAAACUUUUGAUGAGACGGGAGACUAUAUUAUAGUUUAGGCCUAGGCUAUGCCUGUAGUUAUUUUUCCAGAAUAAUCAAAUAUUUGUAGGGUUUGAUGACGAGAUGACAGUCUAAUAUAGUUCACUUAAAGACAGAAGGCACUUGUAUCGUAAGCCAUUGUGUUAGAGUAGGCAUAGCCUAUUUGAAAUGUAGUGUUUCAUGAUGUCGACAAUUAUUUCCCUGCAGUGAUCGUUUUUUCAUUUUUAUUGCACACCAAAGAAAGAAACACUAGGCUAUUCUAUCUGUUGUUUUGAACUGAAAUAACACCGCAAUAUUUAUAUACAUUUUUUUUGUUAAAUAUGGACUUUUUGAUUUCACUGCCAACCACAGUUUUAUUGACAGUCUGACUACUUUUUUUAUUUGACGGCUAAGGCCUAUGUGUAGGGGUAGGGUACGAAAAUAAUUGAAUCUUUGUCGGUAAUAAGAUUAAUAGACUAUUUAGAAGGUAAAAUGUUAGUUAAUGUUACUGAGGUAGCCUAUGGAUUGUGUGUUUUGUACAUCACAAAUAAUACUCAUUAUUAAAACUGUGUGUGCACACUCA